Molecule: long non-coding RNA, 463 nt
Organism: Lathyrus oleraceus (garden pea)
Lineage: Eukaryota; Viridiplantae; Streptophyta; Magnoliopsida; Fabales; Fabaceae
Exons: 2
Source: RefSeq, a predicted model, not a curated record
GUCUUUUGUUAUUUGACAUUGUCUAAACAGUUUAAAAAUUCCUCUAUAAUAUUGAGUUGAAGAAAAUCAUGAUGAAGCGAGGAAUCAUUCUUCUAAUGUUGGUGUCAUUGUUUGCUCUUUUUAACCAGACCUAUGGACAAAAGUUGUGUAGAUAUGGAGUCCAGUUGAUACCAGACUGUGGCAAUGAUACUUCAGUCUGCCGUGGAGAAAUUGCCAAAAAAUAUAGUGUCACGCCUGUAGAUUGCUAUUGUCAAGUUAAUCCAAUUAAUAUGGCCUUUUGCCAAUGUGAUGCUAUUUGUCCACCACCUGUGAAAGAAAAGAAGAUUUUGUCUCUUUAAUUUUAUGCUACACAAAUUAUCAUAUUGAUGAUUAAGGAUAAAUAAAUUGAUUAUGAAGUCUUAUGGAUUAGUAUAUCUCAAUGUAUUAGUUAUUAUGUUUUGGUUCAUGGAUUUUGUUUUUAAUA